RNAcentral lists this ribosomal RNA (116 nucleotides) under uncultured eukaryote. RNAcentral describes it as "partial small subunit ribosomal RNA". It matches the Rfam family "Bacterial small subunit ribosomal RNA", at positions 1410 to 1525 of the family's 1533-position model. The record is from RNAcentral.
GUUGGUUUUACCCGAAGACGGUGCGCUAACCGCAAGGAGGCAGCCGGCCUCGGUAAGGUCAGCGACUGGGGUGAAGUCGUAACAAGGUAGCCGUAGGUGAACCUGCAGAAGGAUCA